GACGAACGCUGGCGGCGUGCCUAAUACAUGCAAGUCGAACGCAGUGGGGACGGGUGAGUAACACGUGGGUAACCUCCCAUCAGAGGGGAUAACACUUGGAAACAGGUGCUAAACCGCUACUGAUGGAUGGACCCGCGGGGCAGUAGCCAGUUGGUGAGGAAACGGCUCACCAAGGCCACGAUGCAUAGCCGACCUGAGAGGUUGGUCGGCCACACUGGGACUGGGACCCGGCCCAGACUCUGACGGGAGGCAGCAGUAGGGAAUCUUGGGCAAUGGACGAAAGUCUGACCGCGCAACGCCGCGUGAGUGAAGAAGGUUUUCGGAUCGUAAAACUCUGUUGUUAGAGAAGCGUUAUCUAACCAGAAAGCCACGGCUAACUACGUGCCAGCCGCCGCGGUAAUUC
This 403-nucleotide ribosomal RNA is filed under the name uncultured bacterium. Its description in RNAcentral is "partial 16S ribosomal RNA". It matches the Rfam family "Bacterial small subunit ribosomal RNA", at positions 28 to 526 of the family's 1533-position model. The record is from RNAcentral.